Long non-coding RNA from Cyprinodon tularosa, 1595 nucleotides. RefSeq lists it as uncharacterized. NCBI's taxonomy places the organism in Eukaryota, Metazoa, Chordata, Actinopteri, Cyprinodontiformes, Cyprinodontidae. The transcript is spliced from 2 exons. The record is from RefSeq and is a predicted model, not a curated record.
AAGGAGCAGCACAUGAACCGAACGCAACACACGCGAACCGAACCGAGACAGUCGAAGCGAACGAUUCUGACGGUUUUCAUAAACCGUUCCAUCCCUACAGUAUAACACAUGAAUGUGAUCCAUUUUCAAAGCAGGCUCUUAACACAACGAUCACUUUAUAUCAUAUACUUAAGUAUAGUCAGUGUAUGUUUUUAUGAUAUUUUAUCUCACUUUUUAUCACACAAUAUGCAAUCCUCAUCUCUGUGAUUCCGUGGUGAAGUUGAAACAUAGACUAUAACAGAUUAUAGGCACAGAUUACAGCUUAGGCCUAGGUUUUAAGUCAAACAUGAAUUUAAAUAAAGUCGGAGCGAACUGGAGCGGAGCAAAAUCCUCGCUCCAACCUUUGAAUUGAAAACUGCUGUGCGCUCCAACAUAUUUCUUCCCCUCUGCUCCACCACUCUGCUAAGAAACCUACAGACACCUGCCUGUUGAACAUGAACACAGGGCUGUCCAGCUCCAGGCUUUAAGAGUUAACAACUUUUGGUUCAUCCACGGUGAUACUAUUUAAUGAAUUUGUCUCUCACGUUUUCAGAAAGGGAAAACCAAAAAGAAGUUAAACUAGCUAGUCCAGGAUUUUUGCACGCCAAAGUUUGCAUCGUUGGACCCAAUUGGUGCCUUUCAUCCUCCUCAAUUACUCUGAGAUGAGAGGAUGUCUGGAGCUACUGUUUAAAGCUUCAGGAGCUGAAGAGACUGGUGAUGGGUUCAAUGUUCUAGACCCUAAAGACUGUUUUCACUGUUAGAUUUAUUAGUUUAUUAUCUCUGGUGAUUCUUUAGAUUUAGAUUAGAUUGCAUAAUCUCACACUGUGAUGCAAACGAAGAGCUGCUGAUGCAACCUGUAGAUAUUCUGAUGCCUGAAAAGAUUCAAUACGCUAUGUUGAGCUUUUAAAAAAAAAGAAAAGCACUUUGGGUUUAUUGACCUACUUUUAGCAAGUUAGGAGAUCAUUUCUAGUUAUUCAUCUUUCACUUGUUCAGAGGAGCUAAAAUGUUAGAGAAGAAGACAUUCCCAUGGAAUUCAGCUUUAAGAGGGAAACUAUUCAGGUUUUGAAUUAUAAUGUUAAAACUGAUUAUAUUUCAUAAAAAGCUGUGAAUUUGUUUUUAGUUAUAUAGAUGAAUGCACUUCUAAAGUUCCCGUUACUGUCAGGGACAAGUUUGAGGUCCCCCCACUUUAAUGCUAUUAGAUAUGCUACGUUUAUAAUUGAGCCUCUUUGAUAAGGUGUUUGGCAUCAUUAAUAUUCCUCCAAGUAUCAGGUCUAAGACGAAGCCUGAAAAUAAAAACAGUUGCUUUAGAACUUAAUCAGUUUUGCCUUAUAUUUGAAAUCUAUCUGGGAAAUAAAAAUUAACAUAACGUCACGUGUAACAUUUGGUCAGCAAUAAAGUAUUACUGAUGUUUAUUUGCAUGAGCUGUGCAACAUGUUACCUAAAAAAAAAAAAAAAAAAUCAGUGUUUUCUGAGCAGAUGUUUUUCUUUACAUCACAAAUUUUAAGUUUUUUUAUUUUUCUGCAUAGGAAACUGGUUGAAUCAUUUAUUGAUCUAUGCAAAUAAAGUCCUCACAUUCU